RNAcentral lists this long non-coding RNA (1584 nucleotides) under Salvia miltiorrhiza (redroot sage). RNAcentral's name for it is "long non-coding RNA (SMIL_LNC005079)". The record is from RNAcentral. Lineage: Eukaryota; Viridiplantae; Streptophyta; Magnoliopsida; Lamiales; Lamiaceae.
CUAUUGCCCUUGAUUACUCGGACCUACAAAAAAUCUAUUUUUAAAUAGGUCUCGAAGUGUCAUUCUAAUUUCUAAGUAAAGGGAAUUGCUAAUUAUUGAUACACUUUGCCCGGAUUAAUAAUCUCUUUGAAUGAAUCUAUAAACUUUAUAAAAUAAUUAAUAAAGCCCAAGCAUUUUUUUUUUAGAAUCAGCCCAAUGGUUAUUAAGAAAUUCUGGUCAAAUACAGAUAAGGCCCAAAACAAACAUAAACUGAGCCCGUCAGAUGAUUAAAAAAAUCGGCCCAGUCUAGGAUUUAUAGCAAGCCCAAACACAAGGAGUCCAAUUAUGAAAGUCAAACUUUUCUUUUAAGGAAAACCUAAACAUCUUUCACUUCUCUUCUUCAAAAUCGGUUCCCUCCCCCUUCUCUCCAAUCUCACCGCCCCUUUCUUCCUCCCUAAAUUCCGCCUCCGUCGCCGCUACCCGGCGGAACCACCGCCGGAGUCCGCCUCCGCCAUCACCCUCUCUCUCUUGCCGCCUCGCGUUUCCUGCAGCAGACGGCUAUGAAGGACCACCGCUGCUGCUGCUCUGUUCUCGCCAUGACCAGCGGCGCCUGGCCUUCGGCCGCGCCGCCCCGUACGGCAGCUCCUCGCACUGCCUCUCCAUGGGGCCGCAUCAUUCCGCCUCUGUCCGCGUUGCCUUGCUCAGCCGCCUCGGCUCCUGCCAGCUACCAGCCGCCCCAACAGGAGCCGCCGUCUUCUCCAGCGGCAUUUCGUCCACCCCGGCUCCGCUCUGCCUUGCCUCGACUCCAUCUGUCUUGGCCGUGAGCGGCCGGCGACUGCUGCCACAUAUGCAGCACCGACAGCCGCGGCCUCGUCAGCCCGGGGUCGAAGCUCCGACAGUGCGUUGCCCUCUUAUUGCCACUCAUCCCCAAAACCAAAGGUAAUCAAAAAAAUUCACAGAUUAAAAAAAAAUAAAAUGGAUUCUUGGUAUUAAGACUUAUGCAUGUGUGUGUUCUUGUAGUAUGUUCAUUUCUUUUGAUUUUGAAGGGUCAGAAAUAUGACAAAGUUUUAGUCCAUGCUUAUUCAAGUCCUCAAGUCUUUGUUGCUGGUUGGGUAUACGAAUGAUAAAUAGAAUAAAAGAAAGUGGUGAGAAGGAGUUUGGAGUCUAGACCUUAAAUACAGACGACGAGGUUGGAGAUGUGGUUCGUGAGUUUGUUUGUAAAUUCUUCAAUGUUUCUGCAAGUUUGUUUGUAAAUUCUUCAAUGUUUCUGCAGGAGUUUAAAAGAAGUGUAAGAAGUUGCUUGAAGAAUAAAAGAUCGAGCUGCAGAAAAGAAGUGUAAGAAGUUGCUUGAAGAAUAAAAGAUCGAGCUGCAGAAAGGAAAGGAAAGAAGAAUUCUUUACCGCUCCAAUGAUUCAGUCUGAGCUAUUGGGUGGGGAACAAGAGUAAAAGGCUUUUAUAUGAGGUUGAAAAAUUGACGUGGUGAAUUGUAAACGCUGAACUUGUGUGUAAUUGAGCAUAUAUACGAGGCUAUAUAAUACCCAUGAUUUUUGGAAUAAACAAAGCAAAAUAUCUUGUAUAGUGACCUUGGAGAAAAAUGAUUCGUCC